RNAcentral lists this ribosomal RNA (374 nucleotides) under Halothiobacillus sp. Its description in RNAcentral is "partial 23S ribosomal RNA". It matches the Rfam family "Bacterial large subunit ribosomal RNA", at positions 2557 to 2925 of the family's 2925-position model. Lineage: Bacteria; Pseudomonadati; Pseudomonadota; Gammaproteobacteria; Chromatiales; Halothiobacillaceae. The record is from RNAcentral.
AGCAGGUCCCAAGGGUAUGGCUGUUCGCCAUUUAAAGUGGUACGCGAGCUGGGUUCAGAACGUCGUGAGACAGUUCGGUCCCUAUCUGCCGUGGGCGUUCGAGAUUUGAGGGGAGCUGUCUUUAGUACGAGAGGACCGAGAUGGACACACCUCUGGUGUUCCGGUUGUCACGCCAGUGGCACUGCCGGGUAGCUAAGUGUGGAAGGGAUAACCGCUGAAAGCAUCUAAGCGGGAAGCCCACCCCAAGAUGAGAUCUCGCUGGGACCUUGAGUCCCCUGAAGGGCCGUUGAAGACCACAACGUUGAUAGGCUGGGUGUGGAAGCGCAGUAAUGCGUGUAGCUAACCAGUACUAAUGACCCGUGAGGCUUGACCAU